This 811-nucleotide long non-coding RNA is filed under the name Medicago truncatula (barrel medic). RNAcentral describes it as "long non-coding RNA (MTRU_LNC005167)". Lineage: Eukaryota; Viridiplantae; Streptophyta; Magnoliopsida; Fabales; Fabaceae. The record is from RNAcentral.
ACUAACUUCAGCUCGCAUUUUCAUGCCUUCAACAAGCACAAAGCAAUGACUUGUAUAACCCUCUAAAAAUCAAAAACUAUAUUUCUUAAUAGCUUUUACAUUACAUAUAACUAAGUUAAAAAAUACAAACAAAGAAACAUUAAAAAAUCAAAACACACAAACAUUUCAUUAAAAAAAUUCAAGGAGAGUUCACAUUGACACAAAUCAUAUAUGUAUAUAUAUGAUAAAUGUAAUCACUUAUCAUUUUCUGUGUAACAAAUUACAUAAACCAUCAUAAAAAAAACUACAAACCUCUACCCAUAACACCAUACACAAUUAUUCUUAUAUAUAAUAAUUAAAUUAAAUCUAUAAAACAAGCAAUUAAACAAACACUCUCCACUACUCCUAAAUAGAAAGGACCAAUAUGAAACAAAACAAGAAAAAGGUUGAAACUUUUCAGGCACAAGCUUCUUUUCUGGCUACAUAAACAAACAAGGAAUCAAGAUCAGGUGGUUGGAAGUACCCUUCCUUUGGUGGAGGUCGUCUCAUUCCGACAACCGGCUUCUUCCUCGGCGGCGGUGGUGGACAAAUGAAAACCGCUGGAAUUUGAUUCUGCAACAAUCUUGGUGUUCUACACUCAUCUUCCAUGGCACCAAACUCAACAAAUUCACAAUUCAACUAUAUUUUCAGUAACCCUUUUGCCCCUUCUCUCCAAAAUCACAAUAAAAAUGUGAACUUUACACUUUCAACUUUUCAAGGUUUAGACAUUGAAUUGAAAGUGUUUUUUCAUGAGAAGGGUAUAUAUAAUAAGAAAAAAAUAAAUAACUAAUGU